This 471-nucleotide ribosomal RNA is filed under the name uncultured bacterium. Its description in RNAcentral is "bacterial SSU rRNA". It matches the Rfam family "Bacterial small subunit ribosomal RNA", at positions 335 to 802 of the family's 1533-position model. The record is from RNAcentral.
ACUCCUACGGGAGGCAGCAGUGGGGAAUAUUGCACAAUGGGGGAAACCCUGAUGCAGCCAUGCCGCGUGUGUGAAGAAGGCCUUCGGUUGUAAAGCACUUUCAGUAGGGAGGAAGGUAGUGUAGUUAACACCUGCAUUAUUUGACGUUACCUACAGAAGAAGCACCGGCUAACUCCGUGCCAGCAGCCGCGGUAAUACGGAGGGUGCGAGCGUUAAUCGGAAUUACUGGGCGUAAAGCGCAUGCAGGCGGCCUGUUAAGUCAGAUGUGAAAGCCCGGGGUCUUAACCUCGGAAUUGCAUUUGAAACUGGCAGGCUAGAGUCUUGUAGAGGGGUUAGAAUUUCAGGUGUAGCGGUGAAAUGCGUAGAGAUCUGAAGGAAUACCAGUGGCGAAGGCGGCCCCUGGACAAAGACUGACGCUCAGAUGCGAAAGCGUGGGAGCAAACAGGAUUAGAUACCCCUGGUAGACUGUCA